RNAcentral lists this ribosomal RNA (999 nucleotides) under uncultured bacterium. RNAcentral's name for it is "bacterial SSU rRNA". It matches the Rfam family "Bacterial small subunit ribosomal RNA", at positions 356 to 1376 of the family's 1533-position model. The record is from RNAcentral.
GGGGAAUAUUGCACAAUGGGGGAAACCCUGAUGCAGCGACGCCGCGUGGAGGAAGAAGGUCUUCGGAUUGUAAACUCCUGUUGUUGAGGAAGAUAAUGACGGUACUCAACAAGGAAGUGACGGCUAACUACGUGCCAGCAGCCGCGGUAAAACGUAGGUCACAAGCGUUGUCCGGAAUUACUGGGUGUAAAGGGAGCGCAGGCGGGAGGACAAGUUGGAAGUGAAAUCCAUGGGCUCAACCCAUGAACUGCUUUCAAAACUGUUUUUCUUGAGUAGUGCAGAGGUAGGCGGAAUUCCCGGUGUAGCGGUGGAAUGCGUAGAUAUCGGGAGGAACACCAGUGGCGAAGGCGGCCUACUGGGCACCAACUGACGCUGAGGCUCGAAAGCAUGGGUAGCAAACAGGAUUAGAUACCCUGGUAGUCCAUGCCGUAAACGAUGAUUACUAGGUGUGGGGGGUCUGACCCCCUCCGUGCCGGAGUUAACACAAUAAGUAAUCCACCUGGGGAGUACGACCGCAAGGUUGAAACUCAAAGGAAUUGACGGGGGCCCGCACAAGCAGUGGAGUAUGUGGAUUAAUUCGAAGCAACGCGAAGAACCUUACCAGGUCUUGACAUCCAGCUAACGAAGUAGAGAUACAUUAGGUGCCCUUCGGGGAAAGCUGAGACAGGUGGUGCAUGGUUGUCGUCAGCUCGUGUCGUGAGAUGUUGGGUUAAGUCCCGCAACGAGCGCAACCCUUACUGUUAGUUGCUACGCAAGAGCACUCUAGCAGGACCGCCGUUGACAAAACGGAGGAAGGUGGGGAUGAUGUCAAAUCAUCAUGCCCCUUAUGACCUGGGCCUCACACGUACUACAAUGGCCGUAAACAGAGGGAAGCAAUACCGCGAGGUGGAGCAAAACCCUAAAAACGGUCCCAGUUCGGAUUGCAGGCUGCAACCCGCCUGCAUGAAGUUGGAAUUGCUAGUAAUCGCGGAUCAGCAUGCCGCGGUGAAUACGUUCCCG